This 393-nucleotide ribosomal RNA is filed under the name uncultured bacterium. Its description in RNAcentral is "partial 16S ribosomal RNA". It matches the Rfam family "Bacterial small subunit ribosomal RNA", at positions 523 to 918 of the family's 1533-position model. The record is from RNAcentral.
AUACGGAGGAUCCGAGCGUUAUCCGGAUUUAUUGGGUUUAAAGGGUGCGUAGGCGGCCUUUUAAGUCAGCGGUGAAAGUCUGUGGCUCAACCAUAGAAUUGCCGUUGAAACUGGGAGGCUUGAGUAUGUUUGAGGCAGGCGGAAUGCGUGGUGUAGCGGUGAAAUGCUUAGAUAUCACGCAGAACCCCGAUUGCGAAGGCACCCGGCAAAGCCAUGACUGACGCUGAUGCACGAAAGCGUGGGGAUCAAACAGGAUUAGAUACCCUGGUAGUCCACGCAGUAAACGAUGAUCACUAGCUGUUUGCGAUACACUGUAAGCGGCACAGCGAAAGCGUUAAGUGAUCCACCUGGGGAGUACGCCGGCAACGGUGAAACUCAAAUGAAUUGACGGGG